Long non-coding RNA from Strigops habroptila (Kakapo), 2398 nucleotides. RefSeq lists it as uncharacterized. Lineage: Eukaryota; Metazoa; Chordata; Aves; Psittaciformes; Psittacidae. The record is from RefSeq and is a predicted model, not a curated record. The transcript is spliced from 2 exons.
CCUGUCUCCCUCCCUUAAUGAGAUUCAUCAGGGCUUAUCUGGACCCUCUGAGCGCUUAAUCAGUCAUGUCGCCUCGGCGCUGGUGUCCCCCACCCCGGCGGAAUGGGAUCAGGCAGCCCAGGUCAACACGGGCCGGGGGCCGCCAGCCACAGAGCACGGUCCCGCGGGACCAGGGCUGCGGGCUCCGGGCCGCUCUCCGCGCCGCCGGGGGUUGCUCCGUCCCUCCUGUCCUGCCUUCCCGGCUACGGAUUUGAACGUGAAGCGCGCCGGGGGGAAGGAAGGUGGGCGAGAGGACGUGGGGAGAGAGGGGACAGAGAGGUAAGAGAAGCAUUUUCCCCGGUCUGUGCCCAAGCCCCUUCCUUGGAUGCUGUGGUUGUUAUUAUUAUGGUUAUUUCAAUGAAUGAGUCAUUUGACUCGGUUCCACCGAGAAAACAAUUAGUAACGCGAUCCCUUUAAGGUUACUUCUCCGGAGAGCGAUGUUAGCUUUUCCGCUCAUCGCCUCGCUUGUUUGCUGAUUUCCAGCCCAAGGUCACGAAAAAAAGGAGGAAGAGGAGAAAAAGGCACCCAGGAGCAGGGAAAUGCGCACGGGCCGGGCCCCGACGUGUGCCCGGCGGCGCCCGGGCAAGGGCCGGGCAGGCCGGGCUGUUCAUAGAGCCGGGGCGAGCCGGCAGCCCGGGCUGUGGGCCUGCCCCGAGCUCCAGCGGCGCACUUCUGGGGGGCGGCACCCAUCCCAGCCGCGGCACCGGAGCCCCCGUCGAGACCGGUCGCGGUCCGGAGCCGGCAUGAGAGAGGCCGGACGGAGAGACAGACACAGAGUCCCCGGUGCCCAGUCUCUAGGAGAAGGGGCAGAAAGCGAAAGGGGACGCAGAGAAGUGAUAGCAAGAGGAGCGGGCGCUGAGGCUCUCCGCUCUCAGCCCACCUCGGGGCUCUCCGGAUAACUAUAGGCACAGGAACACAGGACACACGCACACACACACAGCCCCCUCGCAGAUAGGCACCAAAUACGUCUCUCCCUCCUGCGAGAUAACUGGGAGAUAAGGCUCCGGCAGAUAAGGGCUCCAGGCACCGGCAUCGGAUGUUUGCCCACAAAGUCCCCUUCGGGCUCCCCCAACCAGGCGCAGCCGCCGCCGCGCUGCUUCCCCUCCCCGGGCGGCCGAUAGACAGGAGAGCGGGGAAGAGAAAGAGAAAUCGCGGCAGAGGGGGAGAAAGAAGAGAAGCGAGGAGCCAAACCUGCUGCCGGUGCCUCGCAUGGGGCCGGGGCGCGGGGCCGCAGCGGGCGGUAAAUCCAGUGCGGCGGGAACGAGAGGCGGCGGCGAGUCCGACGGCUGCUGCCGGAGACUCAUGUAUAAAAAGGAGAGAGGAGGCGCCUCUCGCAGCCCUGCCGGAAAACUGCAGGCAGCCGGCCCUGAUUGGGCUCGGCGAGCCCUAAACAAACACGGAGCUCCGCAGGGGUGCCAGUCCCGGCGGCCAGCCUGCCCGCAGCUGGGGGCGGGAGCGGGCGCAGUCGGGGCGGGGGGGGGGCAGGGGAAAGGAGGGGGGCAGGAGAAUGGCACCUCGGGGUGCCCGCAGCGGGGGGGCGUCGGACCCCCUGCUCGGGGAAGAGCAGAGGGGGACUCGCCCUCCCAGAUGCCCAGUCUUUUUCUUCUUCUUUUUGUUUAGUAACUCGUAUAUAAAACAUACACACACAUCUUAUUUAAGAUAUGUCUAUUCCCCUUCUAUAAGUGUUUUUCCCCGCGCCUCCCGGCCUCGCAGUGGACAGCCCCUGGCAGUGGCCCGGGAGGAUGUGUGCCUGUCUCUCGCCCUAAGCAACCAGGUAAAUGUCUCAUAAAAAAAAAAUGUCUCCUUAUUUUUACUCGUUAAAAUCAGAGCUAACCGAGGGGAAAAAAUGUGGCUCCUCCUCGAGUUGCCCCAACCGUCAGGUGAAGCCAAAGCGAGCGGUGGGAUGUGUCCACCCCAGAAGCAGGCAGUAGAGGUUAUCAGCUGGAUAUCUGUCAUCAUCAGUUUGUACAGAAAGAGUCAUCUGCGGCGAAGGGCUGGACUAGAGCAGAGCCUGGCUCUCGGCAGCCGGCAAGACAUGAGCCCUCCCGGCAGAACCCGAGCCCAAAGCUGCUGAUGCGCGGUGCUGUCGCUGCUGGGGUAGGCAUGGCUUUUCUUUCCGUCUUUCCAGGCAAGGUGAACGGGAGGUGAAGAAUCCGCAGUGCCGGGGGUACGGUAGAACCCCGGCUGCAGCCAUCCGCUCUGCCGGCGGGGGGGAACCGGUUGCGACCUCCAAGUUUUAUUGUGCUCGUGAAUUUUUGUGCUGUAGCGCGGCGGGGGUUUGAUCGGGAAAGAACCACUUGCCCCAGAAACCGUUUCUCCAUUAAAUUGUAUGAUUAAAGGCGCUACUUCUUUCUUGUCA